GACGAACCGUGCUAACGUUGUUCGGAAUCACUGGGCUUAAAGGGCGCGUAGGCGGUCUACCAAGUCGGGGGUGAAAUCUUUCGGCUUAACCGGAAAAGGGCCUUCGAUACUGGUAGACUAGAGCGAGGUAGGGGCAGGUGGAACUUCCGGUGGAGCGGUGAAAUGUGUUGAUAUCGGAAGGAACGCCGGUGGCGAAAGCGACCUGCUGGACCUCUUCUGACGCUGAGGCGCGAAAGCUAGGGUAGCGAACGGG
This 253-nucleotide unclassified non-coding RNA is filed under the name uncultured Planctomycetia bacterium. Its description in RNAcentral is "contains 16S-23S intergenic spacer region". It matches the Rfam family "Bacterial small subunit ribosomal RNA", at positions 524 to 776 of the family's 1533-position model. The record is from RNAcentral. Lineage: Bacteria; Pseudomonadati; Planctomycetota; Planctomycetia.